RNAcentral lists this ribosomal RNA (450 nucleotides) under uncultured bacterium. RNAcentral's name for it is "bacterial SSU rRNA". It matches the Rfam family "Bacterial small subunit ribosomal RNA", at positions 45 to 529 of the family's 1533-position model. The record is from RNAcentral.
GGCCUAACACAUGCAAGUCGAACGUGAUCCAUGACUUCGGUUGUGGUGAAAGUGGCAAACGGGUGAGUAACGCGUGGGAAUCUGCCCAGAGGUAGGGAAUAACCGCGGGAAACUGCGGCUAAUACCCUAUGUGCCCUACGGGGCAAAGAUUUAUCGCCUUUGGAGGAGCCCGCGUCGGAUUAGGUAGUUGGUAGGGUAACGGCCUACCAAGCCUACGAUCCGUAGCUGGUCUGAGAGGAUGAUCAGCCACACUGGGACUGAGAUACGGCCCAGACUCCUACGGGAGGCAGCAGUGGGGAAUAUUGGACAAUGGGGGCAACCCUGAUCCAGCAAUGCCGCGUGAGUGAUGAAGGCCUUCGGGUUGUAAAGCUCUUUCGGCGGGGAAGAUGAUGACGGUACCCGCAGAAGAAGCCCCGGCUAACUUCGUGCCAGCAGCCGCGGUAAUACGGA